AAAUGCUGUAAUCAGCGGGCUACAUGAAAAAUUACUCUAAUUAUGGCUGCAUUUAAGAGAAUGGAAAAAAACCUUCUUGUGGAUAAAAACCUUAAAUUGUCCCCAAUGUCUGCUUCAAAUUGGAUGGCACUGCAGCUGGAGGCUUUGUUCAGAAUUGAUCCUGGGGAGCUCUGAACCCAAAGUUUCACAGUGGGAAGGGGAAAAAAAGAAAAGAAAACAUUUUUCCUAAUGUAACAAUACGAAUGGUAGAAAAUGACAAGACUGAUCGGUUUUAAACCACUCUGAAGACUGACUGAGCGUGGAAGUUGCUCAAAAAAAAAAAACAAAAACACCCCCCAAAAAACUGGUAUGUUGCUGAUGCCCACUCUCCCUUGAAAUGUCUUGUCUGGCAGCAACACCUACACAUAUCACAAGAACUUUUUGCUGAGUUAUUCGACAAUAUCUGAUUGAUUGUCGUCUUUGGAGAGAGAGGAUCUGGUGGAACCAUGGAGUUUUCCUGACAAGCCUUGCCAACACACCUCGGUUGAAACUGAAAGGGCUCACUGGACAGUCCCAGUUCAUCCCAUGUCCAUUUUCUCCUGGUUACACCCACCAGAAGACUGUGACAAUUGGUCGGAAUUAGAGAAGGAAAAGUGCCAUUGUAUUUGACACUAGGCUGGACUCAGGAGAUGUUGUUCAGUCACUGGGUGUGUCUCAAACUGCUGGGUGACCUCGGCUGCCAUGGAAAAUGACCAGAAAUCUACAAUCUGAGAAAACCCAUCCAUCAUCUUCAGGCAGUCUUCCAAUCUGUUAACUUUAGCUGCUACUAAUAAGUGUCUCAGUCCAGGAAAAGCAAUUAUUAUGAUGUUUCACAGAAUAGCUUCCAGAUAGCAUAUGAUGUAAACUGCUCUUGGGCAACAUUUCUUCUAAGGAAGCAGCCCUUUUUUUUUCUUCAGUAAGCAACUUCACCAAUGCAAGUGUGAUAAAAACAGAGGUAAAGAAGAAGAGCUGUUGAAAAUUGGGAUUGACUGUUGCUGCUGUGGCCAUUUACACCUUCCAAAGAGCUGGGUCACAAUGCGUUGUAAAGCCCUUGUUACAGGUUUGAUCAGCGUGCAGACUCUUUCAGUAGGGAUGAGAGAUAUUACACGUGAUUGAUAUGUCAUCACUGACAUGUCACAUCACACAGGGCCAAAUCAGGCAUCCUGUUUGGCUGGAGGUUCACAUCUGGAAAGUGAUAUUUCACCAACUGUCUAACAUACACAGCCAGCAAUGUAGAACAAGCCCAAACUCAGUGCAUUAGCAUCUCUGUUUUUGAUUCUUGCUAUUUUGAGGCCCAUAAUAAAAAUGCAGCAUCAUUGUAGGUUGCUGCCUGCAGUCAGUGCCCUGAUCAGUAUGCUUGCAUGUGGCAACCACUUUCAUUUUUUUCAGUGGUAUGUCUCCACAACAUGUGGACAUGCUGCAGUGGCAGAGGGAGCUGCCGCUGGUGAGCGUCACUGUUAAGAUGUUGGCUGGCCUGGAGAGAUGGAGGCCUCUCCAAGGUAGUAAUGGACCGUUGUUAGGUGACUUAGGUGGAUAUCCUGCAGAUGUGACAGGCCAGUGGAUGAACUCAACUGAGCAACAGAGAGCUGCUUCUUAGAGAAGGGGAAACCAAAAGAGGAGAGGGUCAAAGGAUCAGUGUAUAUUUUAUCUAGGACUACCUUCACUGCAGCCUGAUUUCUGUAAUGAGUGACCUCUGGUGAGAGAUGGGGAAGGAGAAGUUGACAACUCAUCUGUGACAACAAACAUACAUCAGUAAAGCUCUACUUUAGGAUCUUAGAGCCAAUGCAUUUAGGAUCGGUCAGACAAUCAUAUGGUGGCAUCUCACAAAACCUCUCUGAUAGUUUCAGGUGUUGGUUGAUAACACACCUCUUUAUUGAAAGUUGCUUACUACUAGUUCCUGGCUGUUCCUCACACAUCCUUGUAAGCAGAAGUUAGCUCAUGAGUAACUUUGGAAUCAAUUCAAUCUGCCCUGCUAGACUCCUUGAUCUUGAUGGCUGUUGUUAGCAGGUGACAUUCAGCAUGCUUCCAGACACCCAUCUACCUCAUCAGACUGAAUGACUUGUCUUUUCAGUUCCACUUCUGUAGCAUAUUAUAGAUCGUCUUGACGUGUUUGGAUUUCUGAUUGCAGGCUUGCUUUCUGAUCCUUGAAGAAUUUAACACUAAGCGGAAAGCACGGUCUGGAUUCCUUCUGAAAAUUUCAGAUUAAUGUGUUAGAUCUUUCUUCAUAAUGUGUAAUCCAAACCUAGAUAUCCAUUUACCUCCCAAGCAAAAUUUUGGCCUUCAAUGUUAUAGUUAAGUUGUUUGGUAGGAGAAAUAGGAUCAACAGGACCAUGGUAUACAUACAAUCUUUGCCAGGCUUAAAAGCAGCUGUUCAAUAUAUCAAGGUGUUUGCUUUAAAUCAUCAAAGCUGUUUUGGCCAGCAGAUGUGCAUCCAUACAAACAUAUAUAUAUUCUUAAAAUAUGUGUAGGCAUUCAGCCUAACAUAUAUAUAUAUGUGUGUGUGUUCCUUAUAUAUAUUACUUGGAUAUAAUUUGUACGUUAAUUCCUCCUAAUAAAUAUGUAAAAUUCCUUCUUACAUAUACAUAUACAUACAUAUAUACAUGUUCCUCCUCAAUAUGUCCUCUUGCCUUUAAUUGUUGAAGACUGAUAGAUGCCAGCAAACAAUCUGGGUUUGAUGUCUAGUAAAAGGGUAAGAUACAUUGCCGAAAGGUCAGCAGUUGCAGUUUGAGAAUUCUUGGCCCCUUGGACACCCUGCAAAUAAGUGCCUGGAAAGGCUGAUCUUGCCAUAAGGCUUGUGAGCUGAUCGGAGUUUGGCUACAGGAAGGUUUAUGCUCUGUGCAAGUCAUAGGCAGUUUAAAAUACUCAUCGCCUUAGUUACACGUCCUUUGUUCUCUUGGGCAGUAGUUCUACUAUAGUGAGAUGGAAGAUGUUAAAAUUAACUAUUUUCCCUGGGAUAGGGGGAAUGAGAGCUGCUGCCUUACCAGGUGUUUUUUUGCUUCAUGUGAACUGUUUUUGGGCAUAACUGAUGUAAUGUAUUAAAAUGUGAUCAUGAAAUUGUGAGCAGGAAACAUGUAGUGAUAACUGCUUGAUUCCUGACAGCAUGAUGCUAUCUGUAAUGACGAGAAAGGUGAAAAUAAAAAUUGCGUUUCCUAUGUGACAGAUGCUGUGUAGAACUAACAGAAAGUCCAAUAGUCAGAUGAUUUCAAGGCUAGAAAUUAUUGCAAGCCUAGUGAACUGAAAAAGUGCUACUUCUUACUGUCUAUUAUAGCAGAAGAGUCUUUUAAUUUAAUAUGUAAAUUAAGAUGUGCAUGAGCAACAAAUAUUAAUUUAAAGUCACGCUUUGCCAUUAAUUUGAAACCAGAAAUCAUCACUGCUUUCCCAGAGACAUUCAUUUUCAGUGAAAGUGACUCUGGUCUCUCCGGCAUGUCUCUUUUAUGUUAUUUUACAGCAAUGUGCUCAGCCUGUAAAGUACAAACUAUUAAUGAAUAUACAUUUUUUUCAUCCUGAUAUUCAUUUUUUUGUAUAAGACAGUCUUGUUUCCUCAAUCUUUUCAGACCUAUUACUCAGUUUAUGUGCAUAACACGUCUUUGACAGUUCUAUAUCUCUUCCUAAAGCAAAAAGUCAGAGGAUAAAAAAAGGUAUUCUUAUGUCUAAGUGAAAAUGGCUCUGAUCUAGAUGCCACUAAAGCACAAAUAUAACAGUGCAUAUUAAAAAAUAAUAAACAAAUCACUCUAUGCAGAAGACAACAUUCCAGACGUGCCAGAUUGUAUUCAAGUUCAUACGAGCCUUUUAUCUGACUAAUUUACCCUCCUGAGAGGUAUGGGAAAAUGGGUGGCAUUUUUUCAGUUUUGUACUUUGCAACUUAGUGAGGUCCCCAAAUUAAUAUUUCCUUACAUUCUUCCUUUGUACUCACUGUAUUUGUCAGAAGAGUUGUGUGAAUGAAAAUAGAUCUGAAUUCUGCAUUGCUUUUGGGGGUUGGUUCAAAGAGGGUUGGCAGCUAAAGAAAGAUCUCACCAGAGACUUCCAUGACUUCUAGUCAAAUCAUUAAUGAAGACCUUUAGAACAUUUUGGUCUUCUGCCUUUCUGAAGAGAAAUAAUGAUCCUACUUUUGAAAAAGGUUUUGAAAUUGCCAGGGAUGUAGCUAUUAAUCACUGUUAUACCUCCUUACAAGCAGUAAGAAAUGAAAUACUGUUUAACAGAAAGACUCUGUUUUAUUAUAUUUACAACAAUGGAACUGGAAUAUAACCUUUUUAUUUAAAAAUCAAGCCACAGAUUAAGUUUUGAUUGCAGUAUUUUGUACUGAAAAUAAGAAUAAUGGAAGCAAUUAAGUAUUCAUAGUUGGGCUCUCAUACAAACACCUUCCAUGGUGAGCCUGUUUGUGCAACUGAGUGUGCCAUACAAUUGUUUUUAUUACCUUCUUAUAAAACAGCCUGUAUAAAACACUUCUUUUUUGAUUGUUUCUUUGUGUAUUGUUGAGCAUGUUUGCAUUCUAAAAGGCUUUGCCUCAUUAAAGCAAUUGCUAUAAA
Strigops habroptila (Kakapo) is the source of this 4544-nucleotide long non-coding RNA. RefSeq lists it as uncharacterized. The record is from RefSeq and is a predicted model, not a curated record. Lineage: Eukaryota; Metazoa; Chordata; Aves; Psittaciformes; Psittacidae. The transcript is spliced from 3 exons.